This 1281-nucleotide ribosomal RNA is filed under the name metagenome. Its description in RNAcentral is "SSU rRNA". It matches the Rfam family "Eukaryotic small subunit ribosomal RNA", at positions 482 to 1789 of the family's 1831-position model. The record is from RNAcentral.
AAAACAGUCCACUUUGUGGCCUGUUAUCGGAAUGGGUACAAUUUAAAUCUUUUAACGAGGAUCUAUUAGAGGGCAAGUCUGGUGCCAGCAGCCGCGGUAAUUCCAGCUCUAAUAGCGUAUAUUAAAGUUGUUGUGGUUAAAACGCCCGUAGUUGGUUUUUCGGUCUCGAAGCUCGGUAGCUCGUAUGGGCUUAACUGAGUCUUCCGGCCUAAAUUUCUUGUACUCUCCCGAUGCUCUUUAUUGAGUGUCUCGAGAUGCUAGAACGUUUACUUUGAAAAAAUUAGAGUGCUAAAAGCAGGCUAUACGCUUGAAUAAAGUGCAUGGAAUAAUGGAAUAGGACUUUAGUUUUAUUUUGUUGGUUUUCGAAAUUAAAGUAAUGAUUAAGAGGAACAGACGGGGGCAUUCGUAUUGUUGCGUUAGAGGUGAAAUUCUUGGAUCGCAGCAAGACGAACAACUGCGAAAGCAUUUGCCAAGAAUGUUUUCAUUAAUCAAGGACGAUAGUUAGAGGUUCGAAGGCGGUCAGAUACCGCCCUAGUUCUAACCGUAAACUAUGCCAACUAGCGAUCCGUCGGUGUUAAAUAUUGACUCGACGGGCAGCUUCCGGGAAACCAAAGUUUAUAGGUUCCGGGGGAAGUAUGGUUGCAAAGCUUAAACUUAAAGGAAUUGACGGAAGGGCACCACCAGGAGUGGAGCCUGCGGCUUAAUUUGACCCAACACGGGGAAACUCACCCGGCCAGGACACAAUAAGGAUUGACAGAUUGAUAGCUCUUUCUUGAUUUUGUGGGUGGUGGUGCAUGGCCGUUCUUAGUUGGUGGAGCGAUUUGUCUGGUUAAUUCCGAUAACGAACGAGACUCUAGCCUAUUAAAUAGACGAUAUAUCUUAUUAGUAUAUCGAGCUUCUUAGAGGGACGAGCAGCUUCUAGCUGCACGAGAUUGAGCAAUAACAGGUCUGUGAUGCCCUUAGAUGUCCGGGGCUGCACGCGCGCUACAAUGAAAAUAGCAGCGCGUUUCGAAAACCUUUUCUGGAAAGUAUUGGUAAACGCGAAAUAUUUUCGUGAUUGGGAUAGGGGAUUGCAAUUAUUGCCCUUGAACGAGGAAUCCCCAGUAAAUUCGAGUCAUCAGCUCGAGUUGAUUACGUCCCUGCCCUUUGUACACACCGCCCGUCGCUACUACCGAUUGGAACAUUGCGUGAGAUCUUCGGACUGACGUCGAAACGAACGUAAAAAUUCGAUUCGCGCGUUGGAAAGAUGCUCGAAUGCAACGUUCUAGAGGAAGUAAAAGU